Non-coding RNA from Pimephales promelas (fathead minnow), 990 nucleotides. NCBI's taxonomy places the organism in Eukaryota, Metazoa, Chordata, Actinopteri, Cypriniformes, Leuciscidae. The record is from RefSeq and is a predicted model, not a curated record.
CAAACUUGGAUUAUGUGAAGGCCUGUACACUCCCCCAGAAACCUGAGGUCUGGAACAACAUCUUCAUUGGAAAUGAAGAGAUAGCAAGGGACCGAAUGAGACUGAAGGAGCUGGGUAUCCUCAAUGCUGCUGCCAUGAAGAAGAAGCUGAGGGUCUAAUUGGGAGUCCCACGGGAGAAAGACGGUUAAAAAACGGUUUAUACCGUUGCGAGUCUACUACAGAGGCACGAACAUCACUUAUUGUGGUUUGCCUACAACACGCUGCUUGAAAAUCAACAAAUACCUCUUGUCAGCUGCCAAAUUCAUGUCAAAUAUAUUCAAAUGGAUUGUGUGAAUUAAAUAAAAUAAAUGGGGUGAUUCUCAAUACUUAAAUUGAUGCUUUAGAUUUCUUUUCUCAGAAUUGUGAGAUAAACAAAAAGUAUUUAAAAGUAGUUUUAAAAAGUUAAUUGUGUUCUUUUGGCAUUGCAUUGUAAAACUCUUUCUAGUAUUUUUAAUAAUGUAGUUUAUCUGUGUCUUUAAAUAAACAGCAUUACUUGAUAUCAUAUUGGUAAUACAGCACUUCUUUAUAUCAUGUUGGUAAUAUAUAUAUAUAUAUAUAUAACAGAGGUGUGACUAUAUAUCAAUAAAAUAACACAUUGAUAAAAUGUAACUCUUUAUUUUAUGUUAGCCACAGACCUUAUAUAAUCAUAAAUCUGAAAACAUUGUUCUAAAACCCAUGGGAAAUUCCAGAGGGUUCUCUUAAGGUUUCAGUACUAUGUAAUCAGUUCUAGGUAAAUUGUCUUCUUAAUUUAUAAGCAUGUGUAUUUGUGUAAACAUAUGUGUGUGAAUAUGUAUACCACUCAUCCUUAAGGUUUAUGUAAAAUGUAAAUGCAUGUGUUCGUUCAGACAGAUUUUCAUAGCUUAAAUUUAUUUAAAUGUUAAUACACUCUUAGUUAGUUUUAUUUGGAAUAUACACUGUUCAAAGUUCCACCUUAAUUACUUUAUUCAAAUU